RNAcentral lists this ribosomal RNA (253 nucleotides) under uncultured bacterium. RNAcentral's name for it is "partial 16S ribosomal RNA". It matches the Rfam family "Bacterial small subunit ribosomal RNA", at positions 524 to 776 of the family's 1533-position model. The record is from RNAcentral.
UACGGGGGGGGCAAGCGUUGUUCGGAAUUACUGGGCGUAAAGCGCGCGUAGGCGGCUUUGUAAGUUAGAGGUGAAAGCCCGGAGCUUAACUCCGGAACUGCCUUUAAGACUGCAUCGCUAGAAUUGUGGAGAGGUAAGUGGAAUUCCGAGUGUAGAGGUGAAAUUCGUAGAUAUUCGGAAGAACACCAGUGGCGAAGGCGACUUACUGGACACAUAUUGACGCUGAGGUGCGAAAGCGUGGGGAGCAAACAGG